This 247-nucleotide ribosomal RNA is filed under the name Trypanosoma copemani. Its description in RNAcentral is "partial small subunit ribosomal RNA". It matches the Rfam family "Eukaryotic small subunit ribosomal RNA", at positions 392 to 631 of the family's 1831-position model. The record is from RNAcentral. Lineage: Eukaryota; Euglenozoa; Kinetoplastea; Trypanosomatida; Trypanosomatidae.
UAGCCUGAGAAAUAGCUACCACUUCUACGGAGGGCAGCAGGCGCGCAAAUUGCCCAAUGUCAAAAAAAACGAUGAGGCAGCGAAAAGAAAUAGAGCCGGCAGUGCCAAUGGCAUUGCCGUUUUCAAUGGGGGAUAUCUAAACCCAUCCAAAAUCGAGUAUCAAUUGGAGGACAAGUCUGGUGCCAGCACCCGCGGUAAUUCCAGCUCCAAAAGCGUAUAUUAAUGCUGUUGCUGUUAAAGGGUUCGA